This 429-nucleotide ribosomal RNA is filed under the name Bacillota bacterium. RNAcentral's name for it is "Firmicutes bacterium partial 16S ribosomal RNA". It matches the Rfam family "Bacterial small subunit ribosomal RNA", at positions 355 to 776 of the family's 1533-position model. The record is from RNAcentral. RNAcentral also lists the same sequence under 1 other name. Lineage: Bacteria; Bacillati; Bacillota.
UGGGGAAUUUUGGACAAUGGGGGCAACCCUGAUCCAGCAAUGCCGCGUGUGUGAAGAAGGCCUUCGGGUUGUAAAGCACUUUUGUCCGGGAAGAAAUCCCCUGCCCUAAUACGGCGGGGGGAUGACGGUACCGGAAGAAUAAGCACCGGCUAACUACGUGCCAGCAGCCGCGGUAAUACGUAGGGUGCGAGCGUUAAUCGGAAUUACUGGGCGUAAAGCGUGCGCAGGCGGUGAUGUAAGACCGAUGUGAAAUCCCCGGGCUCAACCUGGGAACUGCAUUGGUGACUGCAUUGCUCGAGUAUGGCAGAGGGGGGUGGAAUUCCACGUGUAGCAGUGAAAUGCGUAGAGAUGUGGAGGAACACCGAUGGCGAAGGCAGCCCCCUGGGCCAAUACUGACGCUCAUGCACGAAAGCGUGGGGAGCAAACAGG